AGCAGCCGCGGUAAUUCCAGCUCCAAUAGCGUAUAUUAAAGUUGUUGCAGUUAAAAAGCUCGUAGUUGAAUUUCGGGAUCAAUUUAUUGGUCGUGCUAUUGUACGUACUGGUAUUAUUGAUUCCUACCUUCUGACGAACCAUGAUGUCAUUAAUUUGGUGUCUUGGGGAAUCAGGACUGUUACUUUGAAAAAUUAGAGUGUUUAAAGCAGGCUCACGCUUGAAUACAUUAGCAUGGAAUAACGAAAUAGGACGUUUGAUUCUAUUUUGUUGGUUUCUAGGAUCGACGUAAUGAUUAAUAGGGAUAGUUGGGGGCAUUAGUAUUCAAUUGUCAGAGGUGAAAUUCUUGGAUUUAUUGAAGACUAACUACUGCGAAAGCAUUUGCCAAGGAUGUUUU
RNAcentral lists this ribosomal RNA (395 nucleotides) under uncultured Glomeromycotina. RNAcentral's name for it is "SSU rRNA". It matches the Rfam family "Eukaryotic small subunit ribosomal RNA", at positions 569 to 970 of the family's 1831-position model. Lineage: Eukaryota; Fungi; Glomeromycota. The record is from RNAcentral.